AGAGUUUGAUCCUGGCUCAGGACGAACGCUGGCGGCGUGCUUAACACAUGCAAGUCGAACGGAAAGGCCCUUUCGGGGUACUCGAGUGGCGAACGGGUGAGUAACACGUGGGUGAUCUGCCCUGCACUCUGGGAUAAGCCUGGGAAACUGGGUCUAAUACCGGAUAGGACCGCAUGCUUCAUGGUGUGUGGUGCAAAGCUUUUGCGGUGUGGGAUGAGCCCGCGGCCUAUCAGCUUGUUGGUGGGGUAAUGGCCUACCAAGGCGACGACGGGUAGCCGGCCUGAGAGGGUGACCGGCCACACUGGGACUGAGAUACGGCCCAGACUCCUACGGGAGGCAGCAGUGGGGAAUAUUGCACAAUGGGCGCAAGCCUGAUGCAGCGACGCCGCGUGAGGGAUGACGGCCUUCGGGUUGUAAACCUCUUUCAGUAGGGACGAAGCGAAAGUGACGGUACCUACAGAAGAAGGACCGGCCAACUACGUGCCAGCAGCCGCGGUAAUACGUAGGGUCCGAGCGUUGUCCGGAAUUACUGGGCGUAAAGAGCUCGUAGGUGGUUUGUCGCGUUGUUCGUGAAAACUCACAGCCUAACUGUGGGCGUGCGGGCGAUACGGGCAGACUAGAGUACUGCAGGGGAGACUGGAAUUCCUGGUGUAGCGGUGGAAUGCGCAGAUAUCAGGAGGAACACCGGUGGCGAAGGCGGGUCUCUGGGCAGUAACUGACGCUGAGGAGCGAAAGCGUGGGUAGCGAACAGGAUUAGAUACCCUGGUAGUCCAA
This 774-nucleotide ribosomal RNA is filed under the name uncultured bacterium. RNAcentral describes it as "bacterial SSU rRNA". It matches the Rfam family "Bacterial small subunit ribosomal RNA", at positions 8 to 798 of the family's 1533-position model. The record is from RNAcentral.